Unclassified non-coding RNA from Cercocebus atys (sooty mangabey), 102 nucleotides. It matches the Rfam family "Y RNA". Rfam says of the family: Y RNAs are components of the Ro ribonucleoprotein particle (Ro RNP), in association with Ro60 and La proteins. The record is from Ensembl. Lineage: Eukaryota; Metazoa; Chordata; Mammalia; Primates; Cercopithecidae.
UGCCAGUCCAAGUGCAUUGGUAUUUACAACUAAUUGAUCAUAACCAGUUACAUAUUUAUUUGUUUCUUCUCCACUCCAACAGCUUCACUUGACUAGCCUCUA